GAUGAACGCUGGCGGCGUGCCUAAUACAUGCAAGUCGAGCGAACGGACGAGAAGCUUGCUUCUCUGAUGUUAGCGGCGGACGGGUGAGUAACACGUGGAUAACCUACCUAUAAGACUGGGAUAACUUCGGGAAACCGGAGCUAAUACCGGAUAAUAUUUUGAACCGCAUGGUUCAAAGGUGAAAGACGGUCUUGCUGUCACUUAUAGAUGGAUCCGCGCUGCAUUAGCUAGUUGGUAAGGUAACGGCUUACCAAGGCAACGAUGCAUAGCCGACCUGAGAGGGUGAUCGGCACCAGUGGAACUGAGACACGGUCCAGACUCCUACGGGAGGCAGGAGUAGGGAAUCUUCCGCAAGGGGGGAAAGCCUAACGGAGCAACGCCGGGGGAGUGAGGAAGGGCUUCGGAUCGUAAAACUCUUUUAUUAGGGAAGAACAUAUUUGUAAGUAACGGUGCAAAUCUUGACGGUACCGAAUCAGAAAGCCCCGGCUAACUACGG
Molecule: ribosomal RNA, 496 nt
Filed under: uncultured bacterium
Lineage: Bacteria
Description: partial 16S ribosomal RNA
Rfam family: Bacterial small subunit ribosomal RNA
Source: RNAcentral